CGGAAGCGGCCCACCGGAAGUGGCGCGCGCCUGCUCAGGGAGCUCGGGUUGUAGGUGGUGCGCCGGCCGCUCCGGUACCCCUGAGACUCUGUAGGGCCUUCGGGCCGGUAGGCGAGGAAUGGAGCCGGCAGGCGGCGGUGGCGGCGUCUCCUCCUCCACAGAUCCGCGAAGCACCUACGUGCUGAGUAACCUUGCGGAGGUGGUGGAGCGUGUGUUUACCUUCCUGCCGGCCAAAGCGCUGCUUCGGGUAGCCGGGUGAGGGCGAAUGGGGCGGGAGGAGACCUUCGUCCCGGAGGGUGGCGGGGUCGCCUCUGCCGGGACCUCUGCCCGGGUUUCCUAGUGCUUAGCUGGCGCUGCGAGGCUGCUGACGGUGGGAACCGGCCGCCCGGCGGCAACCCUUUGUGCUUUUGCAUCCCCAGAGUAUGCCGCCUGUGGAGGGAGUGUGUACGCAGAGUGCUGCGGACCCAUCGCAGCGUGACCUGGAUCUCCGCGGGUGUGGCUGAAGCGGGCCACCUGGAGGGACAUUGCUUGGUGCGCGUGGUAGCUGAGGCGCUUGAGGCAAGUAUGGAGUUAUGCGUUGGACAGUCACUUGCAGGACUGGUGGGCCAUCUUGGAGAACUUUUUAAAAAAUCAAGAUUGUGAUACAUAUCCUUGCUUUCGUUAACUCGGAGAACCUAUGCUCGUAUUCUGGCUUUUGUAGUAAACGUCAGGUUUUGUAGGGGCGUACUGCGGUUUAGUCAUUAUUAGAUGUUGGGCAAUUGAAGUAUCCAGGUGUCCACUAUUACAAGGCCGUACAGAGCCUUCCUUAACUUGCCUCAAUUUUGCAAUGAAGGUGUUGGGUAUCGCUUGCCCAGGGUCUCACACUAGAACCGGAAGAACUAAAACUUCUACCUAAAUACGUAAACCACAUUCCUUUUCUCAUUUUUGUCCCUGGAUCCAGGAGAGUCAGUGUUCAGGGAGGUGAAGACAGAUUAUAGAGCUGAUAGAUAGUGAAUCUCCAGUAUCUCACUGAGUGGCAGGGGCCCUCGUGAGGAAAUUGCCAAUUUGAUGCCCUAUUAUCGCUUAGUAUGUAUAAUAGGCAAAUAGGAAUGUUCUACUUAACCACAAUAUAGUCUCCACAUUGGGAAGUUAUCAUUGAUGUAUGUGUCGAUUCUUUUGGUGUUGAGUUUGGUUUUCAACUUGAUCCAGAAAGAGGGAACUCAAGUUAAGUGCCUGCCAAAGAUUGACCCGUGGACAAAUCUGUAGGCCACUCUCUUGAUUAAUGUUUGGUGUGGGAGCCAAAGUGCCCCAGUGCUUUUCUUAAGAGCAGAAGGAUUUGAUUCUGUUCCCAAUGAGUAACUGAAAGGCGCGCUCCUUUGGUUUGUAUGUUUCUCCAACCUGACUUUCUGUACCAGCCCCAACACUUAAGAAAAUUCAAGGCACAAGUUGAGUGUGACUGGGAUUUAUUAGAUUUUUUUAUCCCAUUACCUUAAAUUCCUUGAUUUAAGAGGUGUCUGCCAGAAACUUCUGCCUUUAAAUUUUCUGUCCUGUUGCAGUUAAUAAGUAUUUGUCUGUAGAGAAGCUUUGAAACUUACUUUUCAUUCUCUUCCACUUUGUUCACACAGCACUCAUACAUACGCUUGGUCUCUUGUGUAGAGCUGUACCUGUUACUGUUAGACUCUCCUUGGUACUCACACAGUCUUUGUGUGGCUAGUGAGCACUCAAGCCAGUUUUAUUGUCUCUUAGGGAUGACCUUUCUUUUGGCACCAGUUGUCUUCAGCUUGUAUUUCACCUGCUUCAUUCAAGAACUUAGUAGUUUCACUAAUAGUCUUGGUUUCUUUUAGUGGAGAAUGGUAUUUAAUUUAGACUCUAAGGUCAGUACUGUGUAAGUCUACUCACUGUUUUAAGGGUUUGCUUCCUCUAGCCUAGACAGGAAUAUGUGUGUAUGUAUAUGCAUAUGCAAUUGUUCUUUGGUAUUGUCAGGGUAGUCGAUGCACCAUAUUGAAUUCCACAGCUGCUCAAGUUCCUUAUAAAGUGGUAUAGUAUUCUGUUAACCUAUAUUGCCCACCCUUAUUUAAAUUCAAAUUUCUAGAUUAUUUAUACCUCAUAUAAGGUAUAAAUGUAGACUAUAUUAGGAAAUAAAGACAAAAAAGUUUGUAAAUAUAGCAUAGAUUCGGCCCCUCCCCCAUUUU
This 2171-nucleotide long non-coding RNA is filed under the name Mus musculus (house mouse). RNAcentral describes it as "long non-coding RNA chr9:55208933-55211104". The record is from RNAcentral. Lineage: Eukaryota; Metazoa; Chordata; Mammalia; Rodentia; Muridae.